Molecule: microRNA precursor, 89 nt
Filed under: Mus pahari (shrew mouse)
Lineage: Eukaryota; Metazoa; Chordata; Mammalia; Rodentia; Muridae
Description: microRNA 721 (MGP_PahariEiJ_G0007285.1)
Source: RNAcentral
GGAAGACAGUGCAAUUAAAAGGAAAAAAAAAAGUACCUAGGAUGUUCUGAGAGUUUCAUUUUUCUUGUUAUUGCCACUCCUGCUUGGAA